Long non-coding RNA from Myotis daubentonii (Daubenton's bat), 2129 nucleotides. RefSeq lists it as uncharacterized. The transcript is spliced from 3 exons. The record is from RefSeq and is a predicted model, not a curated record. Lineage: Eukaryota; Metazoa; Chordata; Mammalia; Chiroptera; Vespertilionidae.
UUACAGAGAGGAAGGGAGAGGGAUAGAGAGUUAGAAACAUCGAUGAGAGAGAAACAUUGAUCAGCUGCUUCCUGCACACCCCCCACUGGGGAUAUGCCCGCAACCAAGGUACAUGCCCUUGACUAGAAUCGAACCUGGGAUAGAGCAGGCCAACGCUCUAUCCAGUGAGCCAGACCGGUCAGGGCCGUGUAUCCAUUUCUUAUAUGCCCUCCAAGCUGUUUCAAAUGCAUAUAAGCAAACAUACCUAUUUUUCUUACUUUCCUCUUUCUUUUACACACAGGUAGCCCUGCCUUUUUCACAUAACUAUGUGUCUAUCACAGAGAUCAUUCCACAUCAACAUGUAAAGAGAAGAGCACCCUGAUAUUUCACAGCUGCAUUCUAUUCUGUUCUAGAGAUGCUCCCUAAGUUCAUUUAACCAGUCCCUAUUGGCCAUCGCUUAUCCCUGCACCCCUUACCCCCACCUUGAGAAAGGCUGUGGGUUGGGACAUCUUGACAAGGGCCGGGCUGAGAACCCACCACAUGCAGUUUCCCCGAAGCAGUCACCCAGGCCACCACGUUCCCUUGCAAGUGCACUUGGUGGGAAAGAGGAGUUGUGUGAGGCUGGAGGUUAGCCCUUGGCCUGCAUUGGGAAGGAUAAGCCUUAACUCACUAUCCAUCUCUGCCCUCUUCUCCAGGCCUAUGGAGGGGCACGGCCUGGCACUGAUCCCCAGAAAGGUUCUUCCUGAUCCUUUGCUGCCUCCUCAGCCAUGUGUCCCAGGGCCUGCCCGGGGCUGGAAUGUAGGGACAGCUGCUGCCAUUCCAUUCCAGAGCGCGAAGUCCUCCUGCCAUGCUCUUCAUUUGGGGCUCUGCUGAAAAGGGUGUGAAGUUAUGGCGGGGAGGGGCUGGCCCUCACCCAGGGUCAGGGCCAGGGCCACAGGAGUACCGGGCAGCUGUGCAGGGGAGGGGGGAUGAAAAGGGUGCUAAACUGUAAGCACCGGCCCCCUGGAGAGAAGACAGGAGAACAACCAAGUUUGCCUAAAAAUAGGUAUCAACUCUAGUUUCUUUCUCCUGCGAGAGUGUCUGCUUUCUGCAUCUGCUCCCCUUAGGGCGGAAUUUACAUACCACAGCAUUCGCAAAGUACCGUCAAGGGUAAAACCUCCCCAAUGACUGUGCUGGAGCCUUCCCGUUAGAACCCAUUUCAUUCUCAGCCAGGUGCAGUGAUUUAGGGAGCCCACCUGUCAGGGAGGGUGCAGAGCAAAUAGAAGAUGUGGGCCUGCCCAUCGCAUCUAAAUGCAUUUCCCACUUAAACCUGCGUGUGAAUCUUGUUUAAAUGCAGAUUCUGAUGCAAGAGAUUGAGGGGCGGGGGGGGGGGGGGGGGGGGCUGAGACUGCAUUCUAACAAGCUCCCAGCUGCUGCUGCUGGUCCUGGGCCCACUAGCAGGGUUCUAAUCCAGAUCCUUCUUAGCUGUCUGUAGUAAUGGCGGGAACGCAAGGGCACAGAGAGACAUCGGAGCAGCAGGUAAUCCAAAGUGUCUUUCGAAUUGCUGUGCACUGUCUGCUUUCUGUUUAGCAGACUUGUUCGUGAUUCUGCUUUGCUAAGACUAACAUUAAAACACACUUGCGCCCUGACUGCCACAACAGCAGAAUGGGAGAGUCAGGCGGAAGCCAGCCCGGGACCGUCAGCUGUGACGCAGGCGACUGUGCGGACAGCUGGCUCAAGCACUGUUCUUAUUCCACUCGGCUCCGGGGAGAAAUCCCGUUCUGAAAAGCCAACUCCUGCCCCUGCCCCCUGCCAAGCUCCUGGAGACGCCAGCAUGGCGGAAUUGGAGUGACCCGAGAAUAGGGUGACCUAGAAUUAGAGGCGAGAGGGCUGGAUUCCUGUGGCACGUAGGGUUUCCGUCAGGGAGCGGGACGUAAUGCUGACCCCGGAGAGUAGAGCAUCUUCCUCUCUCAAGGGCUCACAUUAUGCCUGUCGUCUAUUCAAGGUGGUAACUGCGGGGUGAGAACAGAGAGGUCACCCUGUGGAGAGGUGAACUGCCCCAGCACCAGGACUGUGGAGAGCCAGGCCUUGUGAUGCAAUGGAUGGGUCCGAUCCAGGGGCCUUUGGCUCCCCCUGGAGAGAGGGAGGGCCCUAGACCGAACCCUUCUGUC